Molecule: ribosomal RNA, 744 nt
Filed under: uncultured bacterium
Lineage: Bacteria
Description: bacterial SSU rRNA
Rfam family: Bacterial small subunit ribosomal RNA
Source: RNAcentral
AGAGUUUGAUCCUGGCUCAGAGCGAACGCUGGCGGCAGGCUUAACACAUGCAAGUCGAGCGGGCAUCUUCGGAUGUCAGCGGCAGACGGGUGAGUAACACGUGGGAACGCACCCUUCGGUUCGGAAUAACGCUGGGAAACUAGCGCUAAUACCGGAUACGCCCUUUUGGGGAAAGGUUUACUGCCGAAGGAUCGGCCCGCGUCUGAUUAGCUAGUUGGUGGGGUAACGGCCUACCAAGGCGACGAUCAGUAGCUGGUCUGAGAGGAUGAUCAGCCACACUGGGACUGAGACACGGCCCAGACUCCUACGGGAGGCAGCAGUGGGGAAUAUUGGACAAUGGGCGCAAGCCUGAUCCAGCCAUGCCGCGUGAGUGAUGAAGGCCUUAGGGUUGUAAAGCUCUUUUGUCCGGGACGAUAAUGACGGUACCGGAAGAAUAAGCCCCGGCUAACUUCGUGCCAGCAGCCGCGGUAAUACGAAGGGGGCUAGCGUUGCUCGGAAUCACUGGGCGUAAAGGGCGCGUAGGCGGCCAUUCAAGUCGGGGGUGAAAGCCUGUGGCUCAACCACAGAAUUGCCUUCGAUACUGUUUGGCUUGAGUAUGGUAGAGGUUGGUGGAACUGCGAGUGUAGAGGUGAAAUUCGUAGAUAUUCGCAAAAACACCGGUGGCGAAGGCGGCCAACUGGACCAUUACUGACGCUGAGGCGCGAAAGCGUGGGGAGCAAACAGGAUUAGAUACCCUAGUAGUCC